RNAcentral lists this ribosomal RNA (300 nucleotides) under Thraustochytriidae sp. RNAcentral describes it as "SSU rRNA". It matches the Rfam family "Eukaryotic small subunit ribosomal RNA", at positions 1305 to 1610 of the family's 1831-position model. Lineage: Eukaryota; Bigyra; Thraustochytrida; Thraustochytriidae. The record is from RNAcentral.
AGCGAUUUGUCUGGUUCAUUCCGUUAACGAACGAGACCACAGCCUACUAAAUAGUACGUGUUAUGGUAACAUAGUAUGAGACUUCUUAGAGGGACAUUUCGGGUUUACGAAAGGAAGUUUGUGGCAAUAACAGGUCUGUGAUGCCCUUAGAUGUUCUGGGCCGCACGCGCGCUACACUGACGACUUCAGCAAGUUUUUUAGCUUUGCUAAAUUUCCUUGGCCGGAAGGUCUGGGUAAUCUUUUAAAAGGGCGUCGUGAUGGGGCUAGAUUCUUGCAAUUAUUAAUCUCCAACGAGGAACC